This 253-nucleotide ribosomal RNA is filed under the name uncultured bacterium. RNAcentral's name for it is "partial 16S ribosomal RNA". It matches the Rfam family "Bacterial small subunit ribosomal RNA", at positions 524 to 776 of the family's 1533-position model. The record is from RNAcentral.
UACAGAGGUGGCAAGCGUUGUUCGGAAUUACUGGGCGUAAAGGGCGCGUAGGCGGCCUUCUAAGUCAGACGUGAAAUCCCCCGGCUUAACCUGGGAACUGCGUCUGAUACUGGGAGGCUAGAGUGCGGGAGAGGGAUGCGGAAUUCCAGGUGUAGCGGUGAAAUGCGUAGAUAUUGGGAGGAACACCAGUGGCGAAGGCGGCUACCUGGACCGGUUCUGACGCUGAUGCGCGAAAGCGUGGGUAGCAAACAGG